Tetranychus urticae (two-spotted spider mite) is the source of this 1040-nucleotide non-coding RNA. Lineage: Eukaryota; Metazoa; Arthropoda; Arachnida; Trombidiformes; Tetranychidae. The record is from RefSeq and is a predicted model, not a curated record.
AACAAAGGUUAAAUUAAAUUAGUGCCUUGACUUAUUUUGAAUUAUUUUGAUCCAAACCCAGUUUGAACAAAAAAUUGAUGGCAACCAGAAAAGCUAAGAGAUCUUAAAGAUCCAAAGUUACAAGUGGAAAGAAUGCGCUCUCUAAUUAUGCUAAUUUGAAGAGUAAACAGAGUCGAGUUUCAACUGGUGGAAAUUAUAAUGAAAAUAAAAUAUCAACAGAGCAAAGAUUCCGCGUGAUGUGUGUCCUCUCUUAACCUCUUCUAAGAUUGCUGGUGAUUAUUUCAAGAUGAAAAUAACAGUUCAACGUUAAAACUCAUUUAGUACGAAAAAUUUGAUUCUGAUGAGGGUAAUCAUGAUCCAACUGAUGAAGUAAAGGAGGAAUCAGUUUUGUUUGUGAAGAAAGUAAUCAAGUAUAAAUGAAGAAGCAAACAGAAUUGCAAGAAAUAGUAAAAACCAAAUCUCGCUCUUCUCUUAUUUUGCCUCUCAAUCUUAACAUUCAUUCAUCUUUUGAUACUUCUCAAUUAGAAACUCACAUUUUUCUCAUUUCACUCAUGGUCAUCAUCUUCUCUAAGACGAGAACCAUCAAUUUCAAUGGACAUCAUCCUUUAUUUUUAAUCUUCAGAGUUUUUGCCUGACUUUGUUCAUUGUUUUCCUUGCUUUUUUCACCUUCAAUCAGGAAUAUUUUGAAUUAAAUUUCAAAUAACAAAAGUCAAUAGUAAAUUAAAGUUUUGAUUGGAAUGUGGAAAGCGAAUGAUUAAAGUAAAACCAAAUAAUCAUGGAAAUGUUGAAGCAAAUUCACCAGAAAAAUUGACCAGAAAUUAUCCAGAAUUGGAAAAGGUUUGCUUUAUAAUCAAUCUAAAUCAAUUUGGGUUUACUUGACAAAAGUCAAUUCCUGUUAACAACUGUUAACUCGAUAUCAUUAAUCAUAAAAUGAAAUGUUGCUAAAAAUACAUUUGAUUUUUGCCAACAGUCCAUCAUUAACUGAUUCAUAUCUACUAAUUAUUAAAUGAUAUUCAAUCAAAACCAACAUUUUUCAUUAA